AACGAACGCUGGCGGCGUGCUCAACACAUGCAAGUCGAACGGUAAGGCCCUUCGGGGUACACGAGUGGCGAACGGGUGAGUAACACGUGGGUGAUCUGCCCUGCACUUCGGGAUAAGCCUGGGAAACUGGGUCUAAUACCGGAUAGGACCACUGCCUGCAUGGGUGGUGGUGGAAAGCUUUUGCGGUGUGGGAUGGGCCCGCGGCCUAUCAGCUUGUUGGUGGGGUGAUGGCCUACCAAGGCGACGACGGGUAGCCGGCCUGAGAGGGUGACCGGCCAAACUGGGACUGGGAUACGGCCCAGACUCCUACGGGAGGCAGCAGUGGGGAAUAUUGCACAAUGGGCGCAAGCCUGAUGCAGCGACGCCGCGUGAGGGAUGACGGCCUUCGGGUUGUAAACCUCUUUCAGCACCGACGAAGCGCAAGUGACGGUAGGUGCAGAAGAAGGACCGGCCAACUACGUGCCAGCAGCCGCCGUAA
RNAcentral lists this ribosomal RNA (478 nucleotides) under uncultured bacterium. RNAcentral's name for it is "partial 16S ribosomal RNA". It matches the Rfam family "Bacterial small subunit ribosomal RNA", at positions 28 to 523 of the family's 1533-position model. The record is from RNAcentral.